AUGUCACCGUACCUAUUUAUCCUCAUCGCCGACAUUCUUCAGCGUCUUAUUUUGCACGCUUCGGCUUCGGGGCUCCUUCACCACCCUCUGGAUAGCUCUCUCCCGUGCCCAGUCCUUCAGUACACCGACGAUACGCUAAUUAUCCUUCAGACUAGCUUGGAGCAAUUAACUCAUCUCAAAUCAAUUUUACUAGAAUUCUCGGCAGCCAUCGGGCUACAGAUAAAUUUUCACAAGAGCACCUUUGCCCCUAUUCAUGUUGAUGAUGCUCUCGCCUCCUCUAUGGCUGCGGUGCUGGGAUGCCCUGUGGCAUCCUUCCCUCAAAGCUACCUGGGUCUCCCUCUAUCCACUCACAAGCUCAACCUAUCGGCUUUUUUCUUCAUCAUAGACAAAGUGGAUCGGAGACUCGCUGGUUGGAGGGGCCUGCUGCUUUCCUUAGCCGGCAGGGCCAUCCUAGUGCGGGCGGUCCUUCGUGCCCUCCCACUCUAUGCGAUGUCUGCUCUUCUGCUUCCUUUAGGUACAAUCCAGGCCAUCGAUAGUCGCUGUCGAGCUUUCUUCUGGGCAGGUCAGGAUACGAUUUCUGGGGGUCAGUGUAAAGUUGCGUGGGAUGCGGUUUGUGCUCCCUUCUCUCGUGGGGGCCUUGGGUUUCUAUCGUUGCACCAGUUCAACCAGUGUCUUCUCCUCAAAUAA
This 687-nucleotide ribosomal RNA is filed under the name Triticum aestivum (bread wheat). Its description in RNAcentral is "partial small subunit ribosomal RNA". Lineage: Eukaryota; Viridiplantae; Streptophyta; Magnoliopsida; Poales; Poaceae. The record is from RNAcentral.